UACAGAGGGGGCGAGCGUUGUUCGGAAUUACUGGGCGUAAAGGGCGCGUAGGCGGCCCGCUAAGUCGAACGUGAAAUCCCCAGGCUCAACCUGGGAACUGCGUCCGAUACUGGCAGGCUUGAAUCCGGGAGAGGGAUGUGGAAUUCCAGGUGUAGCGGUGAAAUGCGUAGAUAUCUGGAGGAACACCGGUGGCGAAGGCGGCAUCCUGGACCAACACUGACGCUGAGGAGCGAAAGCCAGGGGAGCAAACGGG
Molecule: ribosomal RNA, 253 nt
Filed under: uncultured bacterium
Lineage: Bacteria
Description: partial 16S ribosomal RNA
Rfam family: Bacterial small subunit ribosomal RNA
Source: RNAcentral